This 5406-nucleotide long non-coding RNA is filed under the name Ananas comosus (pineapple). RNAcentral's name for it is "long non-coding RNA (ACOM_LNC021699)". Lineage: Eukaryota; Viridiplantae; Streptophyta; Magnoliopsida; Poales; Bromeliaceae. The record is from RNAcentral.
ACUCUCCCUCUCUCUAAUAGAACAUUCUAGAAUACUCUCUUUCUUUCGAAUUUUCUACUUGCUAAUGGAGUACUCUAAAAAAUUCUAGGAACAAGUGCUCUCUACUUGUUAAUAGAGCACUUUAGAAAGCUCUAGAAAUAAGUGCUUUAGAGAAUUCUAGAGUACUCAUAUAGGUAGGUUGGAGGUCUAUAAAUAGGUGUGAGGCCUCCGCACCAAGUGUGUAAGAGUGAGAGUGAAGAGUGAGAUAUAGUGAAGAUAGGGUGUGAGUGGUGGUGUGAGGUGAGGAAGUGUUGUGCGGUGUAGUGAAGUAGUGAAGUGAGUGUGUGAGGUUUGUAGUCUUUUGGGUGUAUGUGAAUGAGAGUUAUUUUGUGUGUAAUAAAGAGAGUUUUAUUAUUAGUCUGGUACGCCAAUAUUCUACAAUUUGGUAUCAGAGCCAGAUUGUAGGAAAUAUUCUACUAGUUAAGUCGGUGAUAUUCUGCCAGUCCGGGCAGCUAAAUACCGAUAUAAGCAGAGAUUCUGCUAGUGCACAGUCUGGGACUGUGAAGUUGGUUGGUCUGGGACCAGACUUACUUGGUUGACUGCUGGGCAAUCACCAAGUCACUAUGGCAGAUAUUGCUGGUACAACUAGCGGAAUUAAGAAGCUAAAUAAUCAUAAUUAUGGUUAUUGGCAAACCUGCAUCGAGUCCUACCUACAGGGGCAGGAUCUAUGGGAGGUUAUCGGUGGUGUUGAAACAACUCCACCACUGAAGGAGAAUGUAGAGGUGUUCAGAAAGUGGCGUAUCAAGGCAGGGAAGGCAAUGUUCGUUCUGAAGACGACAAUCGAAGAAGAGCUGCUAGAGCAUAUCAAAGAAGCAGAUACACCCAAGGCUGCAUGGGACACCCUCGCCUCGUUUUUUUCAAAGAAGAACGAUGCUCGACUUCAACUGCUGGAAAAUGAGCUAGUGACAAUAGCUCAGGGCAACAUGAUGAUUAGCUAGUACUUCAUGAAGGUAAAAUCUCUCUGUCGUGAAAUAUCCUAAUUAGAUCCAGAGUCACGAAUUAGUGAUCAGCGGAUGAACAGAAUUAUUAUUCACGGCCUAAAACCCGAAUAUAAUGGGUUCAUUACUGCUAUUUGAGGCUGACCCACUCAACCAACGUUGGUGGAGCUAGAAAAUUUACUGGCUAAUCAGGAGGCUCUAGCCAAAUAGAUGGCUGGAGUCUCACUAAAAACUGAAGAGGAGGCACUCUUCAGCAGUAGAAAAAAAGGACGAGCAACAGGAGGGCCAAGAAAUGUGAAGCCACUGAAGGAAUUAAGUGGGUCAAAACAAAGAUUGGGAGAAAGCCACCUUACGGGGGGAGUCCACAACCAGAAGGAGCAAAAUACCUGGCAGUUUAAAUGUGACAAACGGCGAAGCGGGGAGUGUUACAAUUGCGGCAAGAAAGGACACUUCGCCCGAGACUGUUGGCACAAGAAGAAACAAGUAAAAGGCAAUAUGGCAACGUCAGGUGACCAUUAAGCAGCAUAUAAAAGUGAAGAAGAGUGGGAUGCUCAAGCCUCCUUUGCCAUUAUAGAGUCAAAAGAAGACUGUCAUUCAAACAAAGAGGAGGCUCUCGAAGAACAAAGGUCAGAAGACAUUGCUGCAGAGGAGAUGACGCCAGGUGCUAAGAAGGCAAAGCUACCAAAGCAGGUACCAAUAUAUGGACUUACAACAAUAGAAAAUCCAAGAGAGGUGAAUUACAGUAUAGAUUGGAUCAUCGACUCUGGAUGUUCCAAUCAUAUGACCGAUGAUAAAGACAAGCUGCUAAGAACAAUAGAAUAUAAAGGAGGAAGAGUAGUGGUGACAGCUAACAACUCGAAGCUGUCAAUCACUCAUAUAGGAAAAACGAUCAUCACACCCAGAUUCAGCCCACAUCAAGUACAACUAUAGAACGUCUAUCAUGUCCCAGGUAUGAAGAAAAAUCUCCUAUCAGUAUCAUAACUGACUGCAUCAGGCAAUUAUGUAGUGUUUGGGCCCCAAGAUGUCAAGGUAUUUCGCAGUCCCAAAAUAUCAGGUAUACAAAUCAUGGAAAGAAAGAAAGUAGAGUCUAUAUACGUAAUGUUUGCAGAAUCAGCAUACGUAGAAAAGACUCGAAAAAGUGAGACUGCUGAUUUGUAGCAUGCAAGACUAGGACAUGUGGGCUAUCACAAACUGAAAAUCAUGAUGGAGCGCGGCAUGCUUAAGGGCUUACCUCAACUUGAAGUACGAGGAGACACAAUCUGCGCAGGAUGCCAGUUUGGUAAAACUCAUCAACUUUCCUACAUUGAAUCCAAAUAUAGAGCCAAGGUACCGCUGGAGCUCGUGCACUCUGAUGUUUUUGGACCAGUCAAGCAAACAUCAAUUAGCGGCAUGCGAUACAUGGUGACGUUUAUUGAUGACUACUCAAGGUACGUCUGGGUAUACUUUAUUAAAGAAAAAUCUGAAGUGCUGCAAAAAUUUAAAGAAUUUAAAGAAAAAGUUGAAGGCCAAACCGUUCAUAAUAUACGAUGCUUGCGCACGGAUAAUGGAGGUGAAUAUACCUCAUCAAAGUUCUCAGCUUAUCUGCGAGAGUGCAAAAUAAGGAGACAGCUUACGUGUCCGCGCACUCCGCAACAAAAUGGUAUAGCUGAGAGAAAGAAUAGAAAUCUAGCAGAAACUUGCCGAAGCAUGCUGCAUGCAAAGAAUGUGCAAGGCAGAUUUUGGGCAGAAUGUAUGAGAACAGCAGCACAUGUCAUCAAUCGGCUGCCGCAACCGAAGUUGGGAUUCAUCUCACCCUAUCAAGUACUGUGAAAAAUCAAACCCACAGUAAGUCAUUUUCGAGUCUUUGGAUAUGUGCGCUAUGUGUUCGUAUCGAACAAUCUUCGAAGUAAAUUCGACAAGAAGGCGAUACUGUGUAUCUUUGUCGGGUACGAUAGUGAAAGAAAAGGGUGGAGAUGCUGUGAUCCAACAACUGGUCGCUGCUACACAUCAAGAAAUGUCGUGUUCGAUGAAGCGUCGUCCUGGUGGUCACCACAAGAAGCUAUACUGCCAGACUCUGAAGAAAUAGAAAUCAAGCUACAAGAAAAGCUUGGAGAGCAAGUACAAGAAGAAAAAAAGGCGAUGUCAGAGCAAGAAGAAAGUAGUCAACCUUCUACGGAGUCAACUAGUGACGAGCAGCAACUCCAGAAGUCUCCAGAACCUUGGCGAACUGGCAUGCAUUAUCAAACCCCAGAAGAAGAUCGACCAAGCCAACUUGAAGAUACAGGUACGCAGUUACAAAGAUCUUCUAGGCAAAGAAAACCUAAUCCUAAGUAUGCAAAUGCUGCUCUCACCGAAGAAGAAGAGACUCCAAAAGAGCCAGCCUCCUACGAAGAAGCAGUCACAAGUAAGGAGUGGAAGAACGCGAUGGACGAAGAAAUUCAGGCUCUGAAGCAGAAUCAAACUUGGGAGCUGGUACCAAAGCCAAAGGAUGUGAAGCCUAUAUCAUGUCGAUGGGUAUAUAAAGUAAAGACCCAUCUAGAUGGGUCAAUAGAGAGGUACAAAGCUCUACUAGUUGCUCGAGGAUUCUCACACCAAUAUGGACUGGACUACGACGAGACAUUCAAUCCGGUGGCUAAGAUCACAAUCGUACGAGUGUUGAUAGCACUUGCCGCCAGCAAAUCAUGGAAGUUAUGGCAAAUGGACGUGAAGAAUGCAUUCCUACAUGGGGAGGUCGAUCGAGACAUACAUGGAGCAACCAAAAGGCUUCGAAAGUAAAACUCAUCCUCACUGCGUGUGUAAGUUAAGGAAAGCCCUCUACGGACUAAAACAGGCACCAAGAGCAUGGUAUGGAAAAAUAGGUGAGUUCCUAGUGCAAAGCAGAUAUCAAGUUACACCUGUAGAUUCAAGCUUAUUCGUCAAGAAGCAACAGGAGAAGAUAUCCAUCGUGCUGGUCUACGUAGAUGACCUAAUCAUCACUGGAGAUGAUGAAGAGAAGAUCAAUAGCAUAAGAGAGAAUCUAUCUAUACGCUUUCAAAUGAAGGAGCUCGGAGAACUGAAACACUUUCUUGGGCUCGAGGUGGAGCGCAUAAAGGAUGGCCUAUUCCUAUGUCAACAAAAGUACGCAAAGGAUAUUCUCCAAAGGUAUGGCCUGUUAAAUUGUAAGCCUAUCUCUACACCUAUGGAGCCAAAUAUCAGAUUAUGUGCAGAAGAAGGAAAGGAAUUGGCUGACUCAACUAUUUAUCGACAACUGGUCAGUAGCUUAAUAUAUCUAACUAUGACCCGACCAGACAUAGCUUAUGCAGUUGGAGUAGUUAGUCGAUACAUGCAACAUCCAAAGAAACCCCAUCUAGAAGCAGUUCGACGUAUUCUAAGGUAUAUAAAAGGGACUAUCGACUACGGCCUCCUGUAUAGAAAAGGAGAGACAUGUGAGCUCAGAGACUACUGUGAUGCUGACUAUGCUGGAGAUCAUGAUAUAAGACGAUCAACUACUGGAUAUGGAUUCAACCUUGGUUCAGCAGUAGUCUCUUGGUGCAGCAAAAGACAACCGACCGUGUCACUUUCUACAGCUGAAGCUGAGUACAGAUCAGCAGCAAUGGAGGCACGAGAGAGUACAUAGUUGAUGCAAUUGAUGAAUAACUUACAUCAACUUGCAGAUUAUGGAGUGGAUCUCUACUGCCACAACCAAUCAGCUAUAUGCCUUGCAGAGAAUCCAGUCUUCCAUGCAAGAACAAAACACAUAGAGAUACAUCAUCACUUCAUAAGAGAGAAGGUGCUGAAAGGAGAAAUAAAUAUGAAGUCAAUCAAAACAGAAGAGCAAGUAGCUGACAUAUUCACCAAAAGACUAAGCACCGCAUAGUUCGAAGAGUUCCGGAAGCAAUUAAGAAUGCUCAGCAGAGCAACAUUAAGAGAGAGUUAGAGUUGAGGGGGAGUAUUGAAAGAGGCAACUCUCCCUCUCUCUAAAAGAACAUUCUAGAAUACUCUCUUUCUUUCUAAUUUUCUACUUGCUAAUGGAGUACUCUAGAAAAUUCUAGGAACAAGUGCUCUCUACUUGUUAAUAGAGCACUUUAGAAAGCUCUAGAAAUAAGUGCUCUAGAGAAUUCUAGAGUACUCAUGUAGGUAGGUUGGAGGCCUAUAAAUAGGUGUGAGGCCUCCACACCAAGUGUGUAAGAGUGAGAGUGAAGAGUGAGAUAUAGUGAAGAUAGGGUGUGAGUGGUGGUGUGAGGUGAGGAAGUGUUGUGAGGUGUAGUGAAGUAGUGAAGACAGUGUGUGAGGUUUGUAGUCUUUUGGGUGUAUGUGAAUGAGAGUUAUUUUGUGUGUAAUAAAGGGAGUUUUAUUAUUAGUCUGGUACGCCAAUAUUCUACAUUAAUUUUAUAUUGUAAACAAGUGUAGAAAUUUAGGAUGAUUGUCGAAUUUGGAUGUAAAACUACAUGAAUAUGAGCAUGCUCUGCAG